RNAcentral lists this transfer RNA (73 nucleotides) under Cordylochernes scorpioides. Its description in RNAcentral is "tRNA-Thr". It matches the Rfam family "tRNA". From Rfam's summary of the family: Transfer RNA (tRNA) molecules are approximately 80 nucleotides in length. Their secondary structure includes four short double-helical elements and three loops (D, anti-codon, and T loops). The record is from RNAcentral. Lineage: Eukaryota; Metazoa; Arthropoda; Arachnida; Pseudoscorpiones; Chernetidae.
UCCAGGGUAGCCUAGUGGACAUGGCACCUGCCCGGUAAGCAGAAGGUUGUGGGUUCUAUUCCCGCCCCUGGAC